Molecule: ribosomal RNA, 465 nt
Filed under: uncultured bacterium
Lineage: Bacteria
Description: partial 16S ribosomal RNA
Rfam family: Bacterial small subunit ribosomal RNA
Source: RNAcentral
GACGAACGCUGGCGGCGUGCUUAACACAUGCAAGUCGAACGGAAAGGCCCUGCUUGCAGGGUACUCGAGUGGCGAACGGGUGAGUAACACGUGGGUGAUCUGCCCUGCACUUCGGGAUAAGUCUGGGAAACUGGGUCUAAUACCGGACAGGUGCCAUUUUUAGUGUGAUGGUUGGAAAGUUUUUUCGGUGUGGGAUGAGCCCGCGGCCUAUCGGCUUGUUGGGGGGGUAAUGGCCUACCGAGGCGGCGACGGGUAGCCGGACUGAGAGGGUGGGCGGCCACAUUGGGACUGAGGGGCGGCCCAGGCAGCUACGGGGGGGAGAGGUGGGGAAGAUUGAACGAGGGGCGCAAGCCGGGUGCAGCGGCUCCGCGGGGGGGAUGACGGCCUUCGGGUUGAAAACUCCUUUCGCUAGGGACGAAGCUUGUUGUGACGGUACCUAGAGAAGAAGCACCGGCUAACUACGUG